GAUGAACGCUAGCGGCAGGCUUAAUACAUGCAAGUCGAGGGGCAGCGCAGUAGCAAUACGGGCGGCGACCGGCAAACGGGUGCGUAACACGUACGCAACCUUCCCGUUACUGGGGGAUAGCCCAGGGAAACUUGGAUUAAUACCCCAUAUUACAGAGUUCCGGCAUCGGGGCUCUGUCAAAGUUCCGACGGUAACGGAUGGGCGUGCGGUUGAUUAGGUAGUUGGCGGGGUAACGGCCCACCAAGCCUAC
Molecule: ribosomal RNA, 250 nt
Filed under: uncultured bacterium
Lineage: Bacteria
Description: partial 16S ribosomal RNA
Rfam family: Bacterial small subunit ribosomal RNA
Source: RNAcentral